This is a long non-coding RNA of Ochotona princeps (American pika), 206 nucleotides long. RefSeq lists it as uncharacterized. Lineage: Eukaryota; Metazoa; Chordata; Mammalia; Lagomorpha; Ochotonidae. The transcript has 3 exons. The record is from RefSeq and is a predicted model, not a curated record.
GGAUCUGUCCAUUUUAGAUUCUUCCUCACCACAGAUUUGAGGACUGGAUUAUGGGCCAGCGAGAAGACCAAGGCUCUUCAAAAUGAACCCUAAGACCUGUUUAAAACAUGGAAAAGCAAAGACCCCAAGGCCAUACUAGCUUCUCUCACUCUCACGGUGCCUAUUCUGAGCCACACUUCACCUUUUCUGAGACCCAGGAUGCAGAU